RNAcentral lists this ribosomal RNA (327 nucleotides) under Triticum aestivum (bread wheat). Its description in RNAcentral is "partial small subunit ribosomal RNA". Lineage: Eukaryota; Viridiplantae; Streptophyta; Magnoliopsida; Poales; Poaceae. The record is from RNAcentral.
AUGCAAUAUGGGCUCAUGGUCACUCACAGUGCUAUCGUCCAUGUUGAAGUCAACAUUGCCUUUUACAGGAGUAUGACCAUCGCCUUCCUAAUUGCCAUUAGUUUUGUCACCCGCAAGAACCAUCGUCAACUCGUGUGGAUUUUUUGGAGUGCUUGUAUCGCUCUUAUAAUAUUUAAAAAGAGAUCAUCACAAUUGUUUUAUCUCCUCAUCUGCCUCCUUCUUCCUUUCUUUGUAGCCGAACUCGACAUGACCCUUGCUGAAAUUAAAAGGAACAAAUUAGCUUAUAGAAUUAGCGCAAAGCUAAUUAAAAUAUUAGAUCUAAUAUAG